GAUGUCAUCGUCAAUACAGAAACAUAAGCAUAAACAUAACUUACAUUCAUAUACACUAGUGAUCUACAUCUUUUUUAAAUCCCUCAGUGUAAAGUAGCUUCAUAUUGACAUCUGUGAUACAAAUAAGCUUGAGUGGGUCAGGGUGGGAAACCUGGUGAGUACAUAGGGUUUUCAACCCACAAUAAUAUAAUUAUUAUGUUAAAACAUCAAACAAUCAACUCAAUUACCCAUCCCUAUUAUCUUCUUUACUCUUAAGGAUCUACCCUAAGAUUCAGCUAUUCCUCGUUCAUUCAUUCCUAAGGAAUCGACACUAAGUAUGCAUAGUCGCCAGGGUUUAUCUCGUUUAUUGACAGUAUUGUUUUUGAGAGUUCACUCGCAAUACAUGUCAAUGGGUUUUUAGAGUACACCAGGUGAACACAUCGUUCACAACACCUACAGGUUGUGAGCCUGCUAGUGUUCCACUAGACUAUCUAAAAUAGUCCGUGGUUGUCAUCCAUACUUUGCUAGAUGACGGGGCCAUCGCUUGGGUCAUCGUUUGGCUCAUCGUUUUGGCUCAUCGCUUUGGCUCAUCGCUUCACACCAUAAUUUAUCACUCAUAUAUCACUGCUCAUCAUUCAUCUCAUCUUUCAUUGCUCAUUAUUUAUCUCAUAUUUCAUCGCUCAUCAUUUAUCUCACCUCUAAUAUACCCAUGUUUUACCCAACAUAUUUUUAAAUAAGUUAUUACAUAAAACCAUCAGUAUAAAAACAUUCAUAGUAAUAUCUCGUGUCAAACCAAAGUGUUAGUAAUCAAAACAUAUUAUCAUAAAACCAUAUCAGAGUGUAAUCCCCAAAGAUCUCAUGUGCGGAAAACAUAGUGUGAUGCGCUGCGAUCAAGCCGACUCCUUUCCUUUGAAACAAAGCACCUGAAACCAAAACUGUAAACCGUAAGCACGAAGCUUAGUGAGUUCCCCCAUCAUACCACAUACCAUGCAAUCACAUAGCAUACAUACUGUACAAUCAUAUAACAUACCAUACUUGUCAGGCAUUUCCGGGGUGCCCGACCUACCUGGUACGACCAUUCUGGGGUGCCGUCCUACCCGUGUGGCCAUUCUGGGGUGCCGACCACCCUUCGGUCCUAACAACUAAACCUCGGGGACUGUUUCACCCCCUACCACUACUAUUAUCACAUAUCAUAACAUAACAUACUAUCAGACAUAUCUAGGGUGUCUGACUACCCUUCGGUCCUAACAACCGAACUCGGGGACUGUUCCCCUCCUACUACCCCUAACACAUAUCUCAGAUCAUGCUAGCAUAUAAUCAUGACAUCACAUACUUUCAGACGUAUCUGGGGUGUCUGACUACCCUUUGGUCCUAACAACUAAACUUUACUACUAUAACACAUCAAGCUAGCAUAUAACAUAUCAGGUAGUAGCAAAACUAGAUGAUAUCACAAAGAUAAUCAUUUAACACACAACUCCUACCGGUGGGCCGCCAUUGUGGCCGUAGACCCACCACUACACUGCUGAAGUCCCGUAGACUCAACCCCAUACUACUGAAAUCCUGUUGACUCAACCACAGCUGCUGGAUGACAGAUUCACGAUCUGUCAAUAUCAAAACAUAACCCAAUUAAUAAUUGGGUCCCACUACAUAACCAUAAACACUUACUUUGGAUAAUUACUACAUUACCCCAAGCUUGGCUUAUUCAAGCCCAAUGCCCAAUCCGUAGGCCUAAAGUCAACUAGGAAUCAACACCCCACAUAUGGCCCAAUUUUCCAAAUUGGGCCCAAGCCUAUAUACGGUCUUCUUCUAAGGCCCAACAUUAUAUAAUCAUUAAGGCCCAAACUAUGGCCCAAUUUUCCAAAUUGGCCCCAAACCCCUUACAUGGGCCAUACCCCAGGCCCAUUAAAUUAUUCUAGUUCAAUUGCUUGUUCUUGGAUGGUCCAUUGUUAUCUCAAUCAUUUAGGCCCAAUAGAAAGGCCCAAUAAUAAACCCAAAUGAAAUUAGGGUUUCACAUAAAAUGACGAUUAGGGUUAAGUUUCCUACUUAACCCAUUAAGGACUUAAUCCUCUAAGGACUUAAUCAAUUAAGUCAAAUAUUGCUUGGAUUAAUUAUUUUUUUGCCAAUGAUUAUUAUUUAAUAUCUCAAGUUAUUAAAUAAUUCCCCGCGUGUCCCGAUUACUUCCCAAAUUAGGGUUUUGAUGGAAUUAGGGUUUUCAAAACCCUAAUUAGGGUUUCCAACCCAAAUACUAGCCCAUUUAAUAAUUUAUUGGGCUUGUAGGUCAAUUAGGGCUUUAUUGGGCCUAUUAAGCCUACUAGAAUACCAUUAAGCCCAUUAGGGUUUUAUUAGGGUCCAUUAGAGUCCAUUAAGCUUCAUUGGGUCCAUUUGAGCUUCUUUGGGCCCAUUAGGGUUUCAAGCAUCCCCAAUCGAGUCAGCUCACAAGACAAGCACACCGCCACCCGACACGGCGGCCGGUGGCGGCAGCCANNNNNNNNNNNNNNNNNNNNNNNNNNNNNNNNNNNNNNNNNNNNNNNNNNNNNNNNNNNNNNNNNNNNNNNNNNNNNNNNNNNNNNNNNNNACAUGGUGUUUCAAGGCGGCAGCCACCACCUCACGGUGGUGGCGGUGGUUGUUCUUGAUAUUCCGGCCAAACAAGCCACUCACGACGCACACACAUAGAAAACACACACACACAUUUUGAAGAGUGGUUCACACACCAGCCACCCACCUGGUGGCUCCUGGCAACGACAACAACAAUUCUGAGAUGGCAGCCACGACCGUGAGGUGGCGGUGGCGGCGAUUUCCGUUGGUUCCAACGCAAGCAGCAACAAAGGCGGCAGGCGGU
Molecule: long non-coding RNA, 2818 nt
Filed under: Lactuca sativa (garden lettuce)
Lineage: Eukaryota; Viridiplantae; Streptophyta; Magnoliopsida; Asterales; Asteraceae
Description: long non-coding RNA (LSAT_LNC004802)
Source: RNAcentral